GGGAACGGCAUCUGGAACUGCUUGGCUAGAGUGCAGGAGAGGAAGGUAGAAUUCCCGGUGUAGCGGUGAAAUGCGUAGAGAUCGGGAGGAAUACCAGUGGCGAAGGCGGCCUUCUGGACUGACACUGACACUGAGGUGCGAAAGCGUGGGUAGCAAACAGGAUUAGAUACCCUGGUAGUCCACGCCGUAAACGAUGUCAACUAGCCGUUGGGUCCCUUGAGGACUUAGUGGCGCAGCUAACGCAAUAAGUUGACCGCCUGGGGAGUACGGCCGCAAGGUUAAAACUCAAAUGAAUUGACGGGGGCCCGCACAAGCGGUGGAGCAUGUGGUUUAAUUCGAUGCAACGCGAAGAACCUUACCUACCCUUGACAUCCAGAGGACUUUCCAGAGAUGGAUUGGUGCCUUCGGGAACUCUGAGACAGGUGCUGCAUGGCUGUCGUCAGCUCGUGUUGUGAAAUGUUGGGUUAAGUCCCGUAACGAGCGCAACCCCUAUCCUUAUUUGCCAGCGAGUAAUGUCGGGAACUCUAAGGAGACUGCCGGUGACAAACCGGAGGAAGGUGGGGACGACGUCAAGUCAUCAUGGCCCUUACGGGUAGGGCUACACACGUGCUACAAUGGCAAGUACAAAGGGUUGCAAUACUGCGAAGUGGAGCCAAUCCCAUAAAGCUUGCCUCAGUCCGGAUUGGAGUCUGCAACUCGACUCCAUGAAGUCGGAAUCGCUAGUAAUCGUGGAUCAGAAUGCCACGGUGAAUACGUUCCCGGGCCUUGGUACACACCGCCCGUCACACCAUGGGGAGUGGGACUGCACCCAGAA
RNAcentral lists this ribosomal RNA (814 nucleotides) under Cobetia sp. RNAcentral's name for it is "bacterial SSU rRNA". It matches the Rfam family "Bacterial small subunit ribosomal RNA", at positions 616 to 1428 of the family's 1533-position model. The record is from RNAcentral. Lineage: Bacteria; Pseudomonadati; Pseudomonadota; Gammaproteobacteria; Oceanospirillales; Halomonadaceae.